RNAcentral lists this non-coding RNA (276 nucleotides) under Enterococcus rotai. Its description in RNAcentral is "T-box sequence". It matches the Rfam family "T-box leader". From Rfam's summary of the family: Uncharged tRNA acts as the effector for transcription antitermination of genes in the T-box leader family. Lineage: Bacteria; Bacillati; Bacillota; Bacilli; Lactobacillales; Enterococcaceae. The record is from RNAcentral.
GAAAAAAUACUGACCAGAAUAGUAGAUGAGUUGCUUCGUUUUAGAGAGUUUCCGGUUGCUGUAAGGAAAUAGCGAAGGAUCAUUGAACACGCCUGUGAAUUAUUUUUCUGAAAUCAACCGUUUAGCUUAACGAAAUUAAGUUCGUUUUCUGAAUUCAGUAGGAAAAAUCGGAGAGCCCGUUAUCGCUUCUUAGUUUAUCUAACUAACAGAGGUUUUUACUGUGAAGUAAAAACAAAUCUGAGGUGGGACCACGUGAAACUUAUUCUCGUCCUCUUG